UAGGAAUCUUGCACAAUGGGGGAAACCCUGAUGCAGCGAUGCCGCGUGCGGGAUGAAGGCCCUAGGGUUGUAAACCGCUUUCAGUAGGGAAGAAAGUGACGGUACCUACAGAAGAAGCCCCGGCCAACUAUGUGCCAGCAGCCGCGGCGAUACAUAGGGGGCUAGCGUUGUCCGGAUUUACUGGGCGUAAAGAGCUCGUAGGCGGUUUAAUAAGUCGACAAGUGAAAUCUCCAGGCUCAACCUGGAGCAGCAUUGCGAUACUAUUAUGACUUGAGUGUGGUAGAGGAGUGUGGAAUUCCCAGUGUAGCGGUGAAAUGCGCAGAUAUUGGGAGGAACACCUAUGGCGAAGGCAGCACUCUGGGCCAUUACUGACGCUGAGGAGCGAAAGCGUGGGGAGCGAAC
This 402-nucleotide ribosomal RNA is filed under the name uncultured bacterium. RNAcentral's name for it is "bacterial SSU rRNA". It matches the Rfam family "Bacterial small subunit ribosomal RNA", at positions 356 to 773 of the family's 1533-position model. The record is from RNAcentral.